GACGUGGUAUUCCUGUCGUUAGAGCCGUCGGCUGAGGCCUGAUUGGUCGCAGGUUCGAGUCCUGCCCGUGUCC
Molecule: transfer RNA, 73 nt
Filed under: Ensifer oleiphilus
Lineage: Bacteria; Pseudomonadati; Pseudomonadota; Alphaproteobacteria; Hyphomicrobiales; Rhizobiaceae
Description: tRNA-Leu
Rfam family: tRNA
About the family: Transfer RNA (tRNA) molecules are approximately 80 nucleotides in length. Their secondary structure includes four short double-helical elements and three loops (D, anti-codon, and T loops).
Source: RNAcentral